UAUUAGUUACUUUUCUGUUUCUUGAAACAAGGUGAGGGGGAAAAAUCGUGAAAUCCUGAGUCCCGACGCCCUACCCUCUCCUAUCUCCCUACAGCUCUCCACAAGCUACAACUCUCCACAAAGCUCGGUGACCAUGUCUGCUCUCUUGCGAAGCUCCGGCGAUCGUCUCUGCUCUCUCUCGAAACUCAGCAUUCUCUGCUCUCUUGCGAAGGUCGACGUUCUCUGCUCUCUCUCUCUCUGUCUCUCGUCAAGCAACGGAGAUUUGCAGCGACAAGUAUGAUCGUCAAGCUCAGUUGACAGAACAUGGCAUCACAUUUCAUCUCAUACGAGUUGGGAUAAAGGGAGAAACUGUAUUAGUGGGAUGUGUUUAAUCUUGUAAUUCUCUUUGCCUCCAUCAAAGAUCUGGGUGCAAGGGAAUCACCUUCAGUUCUUUUAGAGUGGUGACAUAUUGCAAUCCUUGUGGAAGACUCAUCAACUAUGGACAAUCAGGCAGAUCACAGAUUUCUCACUAUUGUGAUGAAUACAUACUGAAAAUUUGAUUAGUUUUUCAUGCAGGAAGCAGCAGUAGAUUAGUUUUUAAUUGUUAUGACCCCCGUAUUCAUACAUUUACAACUCUAUGGCCCGCAUAAAAACUCUAUGGCCUGCAUAUGAUGCUGGUGCACAUAGAUGUUUUUCUUGAAAAUAAUAGAUCCAUAAAACUAAAAAGGGAAAAGGGAAGGAGUCCAAGAAAAUAAUAUACUAGAGGAAAGAAAAUGAGGUUCAUGUAUAUAAACUAUUUAAUUUGUUUGUCAUGUCCUUGACUCCAUGUUAAGAUUAUAUUUUCUAUUAUUGUGAAUUCAUCUAUUUUGGUGAGUUAUUUUGUAGUAGUUACCUUUUAUAUUUGUUGCAAGAAAUAGGAUUCUUGCUGAUAUUUUGUUUCCAUUUAUUGCUAUUGUUUCACUCACUUUGGAAAUUUUGGUUAUUUCUUUUGAGAGAUUUCCUUUUGUCAUUGUUGAAUGCCAGUAUGUGAAUGUUCAAUAUGCAUAUCCGAUUGUGAGCUGAUGAUUCUUGACUUUAACAUGAUUAAUGUUUCUUUUAUGUAGACAAUAUGUCAUAUAGUGGAAACCCUACUCCCGCUCCAACCACAACCACAACCACAACCACAAUCCUUUGGAAUGCUUCUGAAUUGAACAUAUUCAUCAACUUAAUGAUUGAUAAUGUAAGAAAUGGUUAGAAGUCCAACUCCACAUUCAGUAAGGUUGGGUGGAAUAACAUUAAAGCAGGAUUAGAAGCAACUUUCCAACGUCCAUUUUGAAAAGAGCAGUUGCGUAAUAAAAUGAAUAAGCUAUGAGGUGACUAUAAUAGUUUUAGGCAGUUGCUCGAAACUACGGGAUUUGGAUGGGAUUCAAAUACCAGGACUGCUACAGCUACAGAUUCUGUUUGGGAAAAUGCUAUAAAGGUAAUCCAUUCCUUGAAGCAAUAGUCAAUGGAUAAAUAUAUUUUUUUUUUUUUUGCCAACAGUGUAUAAUAUCGAUUAUUUUGGAUUAUAGGAAAAUCCAAAUUGGACCAAAUUCCGAAAGAGUGGACUUCCAUGGUGGCCAAAGUUGUUAGAGGUCUUCUCAGACUCAAGUGCUCGAGGAGAUAGAGGAGUAUCUCAACAUACUACUGGGAAGCAAAAGUCCAUUGACAUUGAUCUUGGUUGUGAGGAUGAGAAUGAUACACAUAAUUCCUCUAAAUAUUUAGUAGGUCUGGAUGAUAUAGAGCCUACAGAUGUUGACAAAGUGGUCAGUCAUUCUACAACAAAGCGGAAGCGUGAUAGAACUGCCAUAGACUGAAGGAAGAAGAGUACAACAAAAUUCAUUACCAAAUUUACACAUGACUUUAGCUCAUAUGUGGCCUAAAAAAUGGAACGAGGGGGUAGUAGUACUCCCACUUCCAGAAUAGUUCUUCCAACUGUCAAUAAUCAAGUGGAUGGAAUGUACAGCAUCAAAGCAUGUCAGGUAUUGUUGGACAACAUGACCGAGUUAACAGAAGAGAUGUGGGUGAAGGCUCAACAAAAGAUACACAAGAGUGUUGCUUGGAGAAUAUCAUUUGUAGAAGUUGUUGCUGAAAAAAGGAUGUGGAUGAUUAGAGCAUUGAAGUAGGAUUUGGGAGUUUCUUGAAAA
This is a long non-coding RNA of Macadamia integrifolia, 2144 nucleotides long. RefSeq lists it as uncharacterized. The transcript has 2 exons. Lineage: Eukaryota; Viridiplantae; Streptophyta; Magnoliopsida; Proteales; Proteaceae. The record is from RefSeq and is a predicted model, not a curated record.